Molecule: ribosomal RNA, 253 nt
Filed under: uncultured bacterium
Lineage: Bacteria
Description: partial 16S ribosomal RNA
Rfam family: Bacterial small subunit ribosomal RNA
Source: RNAcentral
UACGGAGGGUGCGAGCGUUAAUCGGAAUUACUGGGCGUAAAGCGCGCGUAGGCGGUUGGCUAAGUCUGAUGUGAAAGCCCUGGGCUUAACCUGGGAACGGCAUUGGAAACUGGCUAGCUAGAGUGUGGUAGAGGGGUGUGGAAUUUCCGGUGUAGCAGUGAAAUGCGUAGAGAUCGGAAGGAACACCAGUGGCGAAGGCGGCACCCUGGACCGGCACUGACGCUGAGGUGCGAAAGCGUGGGGAGCAAACAGG